This 253-nucleotide ribosomal RNA is filed under the name uncultured bacterium. RNAcentral describes it as "partial 16S ribosomal RNA". It matches the Rfam family "Bacterial small subunit ribosomal RNA", at positions 524 to 776 of the family's 1533-position model. The record is from RNAcentral.
UACGUAGGGAGCAAGCGUUGUCCGGAAUCAUUGGGCGUAAAGAGCGUGUAGGCGGCCAGGUAGGUCAGCUGUGAAAACUCGAGGCUCAACCUCGAGACGUCGGUUGAAACCAUCUGGCUAGAGUCCGGAAGAGGAGAGUGGAAUUCCCGGUGUAGCGGUGAAAUGCGCAGAUAUCGGGAAGAACACCCGUGGCGAAGGCGGCUCUCUGGGACGGUACUGACGCUGAGACGCGAAAGCGUGGGGAGCGAACAGG